CCGAAGCCGGCGGCGGAAGAAAAGGU
This 26-nucleotide small RNA is filed under the name Arabidopsis thaliana (thale cress). RNAcentral describes it as "ATSL286640". The record is from RNAcentral. Lineage: Eukaryota; Viridiplantae; Streptophyta; Magnoliopsida; Brassicales; Brassicaceae.